Long non-coding RNA from Suricata suricatta (meerkat), 1674 nucleotides. RefSeq lists it as uncharacterized. NCBI's taxonomy places the organism in Eukaryota, Metazoa, Chordata, Mammalia, Carnivora, Herpestidae. The transcript has 2 exons. The record is from RefSeq and is a predicted model, not a curated record.
CGUUGCUGCCGGUUUUGUUACCCUCCUCCUUUAGAGUAAGGAAGGUAGAGAGAACGGGGGACGCCUAACUGCGGCGGGAGCCACCCAGGAAUGGUUUCCUCCUCUGGGGCGCCGGGACGACGCCGGAACCGGCGAGGAUCUGGAUUGGGGGCAGAGGGGUCGCCCCUCUUGCGGUAUGUCUGAUGUUGGAGGACUAAGCACAUGGCCUGGGGAGGACUCCAGUGACCUUUCAUGUCCAGAACCAGUUUGUAACUGGGCCUGGACAGGACCGUAGCCGCCGUUCAAGGGUUUGGGUGCGUGCGCCCCGGGAAAACCCGGAGUUCCAGGGGAACCAGGGCCAGAAUGGGACUUGACCAUUGCUCUCUGCCCUCGUGGUCAUUACCCACCGCCACCUCUCAGAUACCCAAAUGACGCCCUAGAGCCCAAGGCCUACAAUGGUGCCCUACUUGGCAUUGCCGCCAGAUCUUCGGAUUUAUGAGGCCGCCCACUAAUUGGUGAGGGGGAGUUUUAGUUCUCCUUGCAGUGUCUUGCAGAGAAUUUCCUCGAGGUUCCACGCGCCUCUUGAAAGCCAGAAAAACGUGUACAGACCCUGCCUCUCCAACUCGCGCCGCGGCCCAAAGGGGCUGGGCGGAUACCUGGGAAGAGCCCCAAUGUCUGAACUCUGACGUGCACACCUCCGGCUCCCUUCGGCGGGGUGAGGAUUUGGCGCCUACGACAUAACACUGGCCGAAACACCUGGAACCGUAGACGCACCCUCUCAGCCCAGCGCCCCCGCUCGCCGGAGCGCUGCAUUUUAAGGUGGACCGCAACUUUGGGGGACCCCAGGUAAGCCCGGCGCGACCGGAUGGGGAGGUCGCCCAGGUCUGGAAUGUCCAGCACAGCCAGCUCUCCCGGCGCGUACUCCGCCUGGAGGCAAACCUGGCGGGAGGUGCACUUGAGAGCACCUCCCUCUCUGGAUCCUUAUCUCUUCGGGAGGAAAAAAAUCUCCUUUACAUAACCAUACUGUACAAUUAAGGACACUACACCCUCAAAUAUUUGCAUUUCUCAGAAGGUUUUCUGAGGCGGAAUUAGCCGAAGGGGAAGGAAUUGCAAAUGUAGGAAUUCUGGCACCUGUGAGCUCAGCCCACUUCACUGUGGGUCCUCACUCUUAUCCGAGCUCCGAGCAAAAGAACACUUUGCUGCUGGAUGCCCGGAGCCACGUGGGUGCACACUCCUCUAGAAGAGGGAAUUCAGAGCCAGAUCUGGGUAAGUUUUGAUUUUCAGCCUUCAGACCUUUUUGCUUUUAUGUUGAUCACAUGAAUCUCCUAAGACUGAGACAUAACAGUCCAAGAAACAAGUUGGAUUUUUGUGUAUUCAUAGAAAAACAAGAAGGAUGCACCCCGACUUCUAACCACCAUUACCCCAAGUGUGGGACUGGCGUGUGGGAAGGGGAGGGAGGAGAUGAAUUUUGUACCAUUACUGACUCUUGAGUUUUGUAUUUUUCAAGUUGUAUUAACUCUUUUAACUUAGAAAGCUAGUAAAACAUUUAAAAAGAAAUAUAGAGAUUAGAAAUCCUUUAAGAACGAUACAGAAAGUACAAAUUAAUAGACAAAGCCUAUGUCUUUCAUUCUGUGUCAAAAUAAUUAAUCGUGAGUCCAUGUUCCUUGGUUUAAAUAAAGAUAUCUCUAUGCUGUU